RNAcentral lists this unclassified non-coding RNA (254 nucleotides) under uncultured Blastocatellia bacterium. RNAcentral's name for it is "contains 16S-23S intergenic spacer region". It matches the Rfam family "Bacterial small subunit ribosomal RNA", at positions 524 to 776 of the family's 1533-position model. Lineage: Bacteria; Pseudomonadati; Acidobacteriota; Blastocatellia. The record is from RNAcentral.
UACGGGGGGAGCAAGCGUUGUUCGGAUUUACUGGGCGUAAAGGGCGCGUAGGCGGCCACCGCAAGUCAGUUGUGAACUCUCUGGGCUUAACCCAGAAAGGUCAACUGAUACUGCGGGGCUAGAGUGCAGAAGGGGCAACUGGAAUUCUCGGUGUAGCGGUGAAAUGCGUAGAUAUCGAGAGGAACACCUGCGGCGAAGGCGGGUUGCUGGGCUGACACUGACGCUGAGGCGCGAAAGCUAGGGGAGCGAACGGG